Molecule: long non-coding RNA, 770 nt
Organism: Balaenoptera acutorostrata (minke whale)
Lineage: Eukaryota; Metazoa; Chordata; Mammalia; Artiodactyla; Balaenopteridae
Exons: 3
Source: RefSeq, a predicted model, not a curated record
CCCAAAUAUUGUCCCAAACACAAAGUAGCAUUUAAAAAAAGUUAUAUUUAUGUGGGAGCACUUUGGAAGAAACCAAAUAAAAACCAAAAGCUGUCUCUCUCAGUGUUCUGAUUUCCAUCUUGUACACCUUGGCACAGAUGACAAAACAAAAUGCAACUUCAAAACAAGACAUUGUAAACAAGUGUGGGUCUCUCCGUGUGGUUUUUCUUGGGUGGGGAGCUCUGGGAGGGCAGGGCCAGGCUCCCGCCUGACAGCUGGCCCAGCUCACUCCUCCCUGCCCUCAUCUCUGCAGGCGCACCUCCACCCAGCCUUCUGCCCCAGCAGCACCUCUUCUCUGUGUGCCCUGGCUUGUCUUCUUCCUCAUCCAAGUCUCAUCCAUCUCCACCUGGGUUGUACUUUACCCUCAUCCCAGUGGCCAGAUGAGAAGACUGAGACCCAUGAUUAAGUAACCUGGCCAAAGUCAAACAGUUUCUGUAUGAAAAACCCUGAAUCUACCACUUUGGACUCUACAUUCCUCGAUCCAUAAUAUAGAUUGAACGUACUGGAUAGACUGGAUUGCAAUUUGGGGGACUCAAUGAAUAUUCUUGAAUGAUGAGGCUUACCUAAGAAUAGCAUCUUGGCAUCACUGAAAAGAAAAAGAAUCUAGAAUCCCUCCGAGGGCUUCUGAUCGUGUCCAUCAAUUUGAAUCCAGACGUGCCUCUGGCUGUCAUAUGGAGCUUGGAUUCAAAGGAAGGAGGGAAAACAGUCAGGAAACUCUCCCAGUAGUCAGG